CCUACGGGAGGCAGCAGUGGGGAAUAUUGCGCAAUGGGCGAAAGCCUGACGCAGCGACGCCGCGUGAGGGAUGAAGGUCUUCGGAUCGUAAACCUUCGUCAGCAGGGAAGAACGGUCCCUGGGCCAAUCAGCCGUGAAUUGACGGUACCUGCAAAGGAAGCACCGGCCAACGCCGGGCCAGCAGCCGCGGUAAAUCGGAGGGUGGGAGCGUUAAUCGGAAUUACUGGGCGUAAAGCGCUCGUAGGCGGUAUGUCAAGUCAAGGGUGAAAUCCCCGCGCUCAACGUGGGAACUGCCGUUGAAACUGGCAAACUGGAGUGUGUGAGAGGAUAGUGGAAUGCCAGGUGUAGGAGUGAAAUCCGUAGAUAUCUGGAGGAACAUCAGUGGCGAAGGCGACUAUCUGGCACAUAACUGACGCUGAGGAGCGAAAGCGUGGGUAGCAAACAGGAUUAGAUACCCCUGUAGUC
Molecule: ribosomal RNA, 465 nt
Filed under: uncultured bacterium
Lineage: Bacteria
Description: partial 16S ribosomal RNA
Rfam family: Bacterial small subunit ribosomal RNA
Source: RNAcentral